Molecule: ribosomal RNA, 397 nt
Filed under: uncultured bacterium
Lineage: Bacteria
Description: partial 16S ribosomal RNA
Rfam family: Bacterial small subunit ribosomal RNA
Source: RNAcentral
AUACGUAGGUGACAAGCGUUAUCCGGAUUUACUGGGCGUAAAGGGCGUGUAGGCGGUCUUGCAAGUCAGAAGUGAAAUUCCUGAGCUCAACUCGGGCGCUGCUUCUGAAACUGCAGGACUUGAGUGCUGGAGGGGAUAGCGGAAUUCCUAGUGGAGCGGUAAAAUGCGCAGAUAUUAGGAAGAACACCGGUGGCGAAGGCGGCUAUCUUGGUAAUAACUCACGCUAGGGAGGAAAAAGUGUGGAACAAAUUAUUUUGUGAUUCCAUGUUUUUCCACGCCUUAAACGAUGAAUACUAGGUGUAGGGGGUAGCGACGCCCUCUGUGCCGCAGUUAAAACAAAUUGUAUUCCACCUGGGGAGUACGGCCGCAAGUUUUAUACUCAAGUGAAUUGACGGGG